CCGAGUGAGGGCCCUCUGGGUCCGACCUCCCACCCGUGUUUAUCGUACCUUGUUGCUUCGGCGGGCCCGCCGCAAGGCCGCCGGGGGGCUUCUGCCCCCGGGCCCGUGUCCGCCGAAGACACCCGUGAACGCUGUAUGAAGAUUGCAGUCUGAGCGAUUAGCUAAAUCGGUUA
This 173-nucleotide unclassified non-coding RNA is filed under the name uncultured Penicillium. Its description in RNAcentral is "sequence contains ITS1". The record is from RNAcentral. Lineage: Eukaryota; Fungi; Ascomycota; Eurotiomycetes; Eurotiales; Aspergillaceae.